RNAcentral lists this ribosomal RNA (651 nucleotides) under Acarospora sp. RNAcentral's name for it is "SSU rRNA". It matches the Rfam family "Bacterial small subunit ribosomal RNA", at positions 375 to 1110 of the family's 1533-position model. Lineage: Eukaryota; Fungi; Ascomycota; Lecanoromycetes; Acarosporales; Acarosporaceae. The record is from RNAcentral.
GCGAAAGCUAGUUGUAUUAACUAUUAGUUAAUGCAAGAUCGACUACGUCGACUAAAGUUCUAGGUAGAAUAAUGAUGAUGACAAUUUUUUACCUAUAUGUCUUGACCAAGUCUCGUGCCAGCAGUCGCGGAAAUACGUGGAAGACUAGUGUUAUUCAUCUUUAAUAGGUUUAAAGGGUACCUAGACGGUAUUUCUAGCCCAAAAUAGGGUACGGAUUUACUAGAGUUUUAUGUGAGGAGGGGAGUACUCGUGGAGUAGAGAUGAAAUUUUGUGAUACUAUGAGGAAACUGGUGGCGGCGAAAGCAACCUUCUAUGUAUAAACUGACGUUGAGGGACGAAGGCUUGGGUAGCAAAUAGGAUUAGAUACCCUAGUAGUCCAAGCAGACAAUUCUGAAUGCCAUAGAUUAGAUUAUUUUUGGUCUAUAAAUGAAAGUGUAAGCAUUCCACCUUAGGAGUAAUGUGGCAACACAGGAACUGAAAUCAUUAGACCGUUUCUGAAACCAGUAGUGAAGUAUGUUAUUUAAUUUGAUGGUCCACAAAAAACCUUACCACAACUUGAAUAUUAUUAAAUUAAUACAAGCGUUGCACGGCUGUCUUCAGUUAAUGUCGUGAGAUUUUGGUUAACUCCAUUAAUUAACGUAAACCCUUACU